GGGGCAGCUCUUCACAUUCCAGACAUUCUUAGAGGGUACAGAGGAGGCGGGAAGAAAGGCUAUUCCCAGUUCUCCGCCUCAGUGCCAACGAUACCCCGUGGGCAUGAUCCUAGGCAGGCACAAGGGCAGGUGGCCUUGGGAGCCAAGGCAGGGCCCUGCUCCUGGAGGUGCCCACCCGGGGCUCGGGCUUCCAAGGCAGACUCCAGGAGCCGUCUCCCUCCAUCCAGCCACACACUCAGCCCUGCUUUCUCAGGAGCGGACUCUUCCAGACCAGCCCCCUGUUUGGGAUGCUCCCUCUUAGAAGCAGCUCUGGGAAAUCAUGGAGGACUGAGGCCCUGAGCUCCCAGCCGACAGCCAGUGCCAGCUUCCAGGAGGUGCGUACGCCAUCUUGAAUUUUCCAGCACGCUUGACCUCGGGACCGCAGACAAGGACCAGGGGAGUCGGUCCACAGAAAAUGAAGAUAAUAUCUUAAUCUUUUAAACCACUGAGUAAGUUUUGGGGUGCUCUGUUAUGCAA
This 516-nucleotide long non-coding RNA is filed under the name Ictidomys tridecemlineatus (thirteen-lined ground squirrel). Its description in RNAcentral is "lncRNA (ENSSTOG00000032114.1)". The record is from RNAcentral. Lineage: Eukaryota; Metazoa; Chordata; Mammalia; Rodentia; Sciuridae.